CAGUGUGAUUUAUUUCAGAUGUGCAGCGCUUUGUUUCUGUAAUCAGUCAAGGAUGGGAUGAAGGGUAAAAUAUUGGCCAGUGAACCCCAGGUGAGCCGUCUGUCCGUGACUCGGCGGGAACCUAUGAAUCAGAAGGCUGAGGGCACAAGUCCUGCACAGGACCCCCUCACCUGAGGCUGUGACGUGACGGAUCUGUCAGAUCCUUUAUGUAACGGCGAGACUGCAUAGGACAUUGGUCAGACAGCCCUUGGAGGACCCUGUGAGGCCAUUAUCUCGGAAAAGAUGCGCUGGUAUUGGAGUGGAUCGAGAGAAUGACCCCGGGGAUGAAAGGGUUAAAGUCUGUUAAAUCGUUCAGAGUGCGAGACAAAGAGAUGCACAGCGAGAUCCCAACUCCACCUGCUCGUACAAGGUCAUGGCGUUGUAGUUGUGUCCCUGGUGAACCAGUAGCUAGUGGCUCGAACUAUUGAAAUGGGGGUGAAAGUUGAAACCUCUC
Long non-coding RNA from Hypanus sabinus (Atlantic stingray), 493 nucleotides. RefSeq lists it as uncharacterized. The transcript is spliced from 4 exons. Lineage: Eukaryota; Metazoa; Chordata; Chondrichthyes; Myliobatiformes; Dasyatidae. The record is from RefSeq and is a predicted model, not a curated record.